UCAGAUCUACCAAUCAGGUCAGUGCAGACAUAUCAGAUCUACCAAUCAGGUCAGUGCAGACAUAUCAGAUCUACCAAUCAGGUCAGUGCAGACAUAUCAGAUCUACCAAUCAGGUCAGUGCAGACAUAUCAGAUCUACCAAUCAGGUCAGUGCAGACAUAUCAGAUCUACCAGAACAGGUCAGUGCAGACAUAUCAGAUCUACCAAUCAGGUCAGUGCAGACAUAUCAGAUCUACCAAUCAGGUCAGUGCAGACAUAUCAGAUCUACCAAACAGGUCAGUGCAGACAUAUCAGAUCUACCAAACAGCUCAGUGCAGACAUAUCAGAUCUACCAAAACAGGUCAGUGCAGACAGAUAUUUGAUCUACCACCAAAACAGGUCAGUGCAGACAGAUAUUUACCUACCAAACAGGUCAGUGCAGACAGAUAUUUGAUCUACCAGAAAACAGGUUGUGUUCAUUGCCAGUGGUUUCAGUUAAACUGAUGACCACUGAUCUAAGCCCUAUUACAAUAAAAACAUGACGAGUCAUUUAGUUCCAGGAACUCAUUUACAUCCAGGAAGUCAUUUAGUUCCAGGAAGUCAUUGCCGUAAUCUCCUCCAAUCACUAAAACUUUGGAAACCCAACUUGAUGCGUGAUUGUAUUGUUGCUUAAUAAUAUUUUUUCCCCCGGAAGGGAGACGUCUCUGUUGUUCUAAGAACCAUUCCCUGUUUCAGGUUGUUAUGGUAACGAGUAGGUGAGAGUUUUUCUCCACUGUUUGGGGAUGGGAUGACUGUGUCAGAGUCAGAGUGUGUGGGUGUCAGUGUCCUGCCCCAUCCGGGGAGAGGGGGGGCAGGAAUCCACUGCCAGGGAGUGGGAAAAUAACAUUGUGUGAGUCGAUGUGAGUGUGUCACUGUUUGGGGCUGGGUGUGUGUGUGUCCUGUCCCAUCCGGGGGUAGUGAAUUCACUGCCAGGGAAUGGGAUCUGUGUA
This is a long non-coding RNA of Oncorhynchus keta (chum salmon), 967 nucleotides long. RefSeq lists it as uncharacterized. The record is from RefSeq and is a predicted model, not a curated record. NCBI's taxonomy places the organism in Eukaryota, Metazoa, Chordata, Actinopteri, Salmoniformes, Salmonidae. The transcript has 3 exons.